This 526-nucleotide ribosomal RNA is filed under the name uncultured bacterium. RNAcentral's name for it is "partial 16S ribosomal RNA". It matches the Rfam family "Bacterial small subunit ribosomal RNA", at positions 355 to 874 of the family's 1533-position model. The record is from RNAcentral.
UGGGGAAUUUUGGACAAUGGGCGAAAGCCUGAUCCAGCAAUGCCGCGUGUGUGAAGAAGGCCUUCGGGUUGUAAAGCACUUUUGUCCGGAAAGAAAUCCUCUGGGUUAAUACCUCGGGGGGAUGACGGUACCGGAAGAAUAAGCACCGGCUAACUACGUGCCAGCAGCCGCGGUAAUACGUAGGGUGCAAGCGUUAAUCGGAAUUACUGGGCGUAAAGCGUGCGCAGGCGGUUUUGUAAGACGGAUGUGAAAUCCCCGGGCUUAACCUGGGAACUGCAUUCGUGACUGCAAGGCUAGAGUAUGGCAGAGGGGGGUAGAAUUCCACGUGUAGCAGUGAAAUGCGUAGAGAUGUGGAGGAAUACCGAUGGCGAAGGCAGCCCCCUGGGCCAAUACUGACGCUCAUGCACGAAAGCGUGGGGAGCAAACGGGAUUAGAUACCCUGGUAGUCCACGCCCUAAACGAUGUCAACUAGUUGUUGGGGAUUCAUUUCCUUAGUAACGUAGCUAACGCGUGAAGUUGACCGCCU